Molecule: ribosomal RNA, 440 nt
Filed under: uncultured bacterium
Lineage: Bacteria
Description: bacterial SSU rRNA
Rfam family: Bacterial small subunit ribosomal RNA
Source: RNAcentral
AAUAUUGCACAAUGGGCGCAAGCCUGAUGCAGCCAUGCCGCGUGUAUGAAGAAGGCCUUCGGGUUGUAAAGUACUUUCAGCAGUGAGGAAGGUGGGUAUGUUAAUAGCAUAUUCAUUUGACGUUAGCUGCAGAAGAAGCACCGGCUAACUCCGUGCCAGCAGCCGCGGUAAUACGGAGGGUGCGAGCGUUAAUCGGAAUUACUGGGCGUAAAGCGCAUGCAGGUGGUUUGUUAAGUCAGAUGUGAAAGCCCGGGGCUCAACCUCGGAAUUGCAUUUGAAACUGGCAAACUAGAGUACUGUAGAGGGGGUAGAAUUUCAGGUGUAGCGGUGAAAUGCGUAGAGAUCUGAAGGAAUACCGGUGGCGAAGGCGGCCCCCUGGACAGAUACUGACACUCAGAUGCGAAAGCGUGGGGAGCAAACAGGAUUACAUACCCUGGUAG